UUUAAUUCGAAGCAACGCGCAGAACCUUACCAGCCUUUGACAUCCCGCGCUACUUCCAGAGAUGGAAGGUUCCUUUCGGGGACGCGGUGACAGAUGCUGCAUGGCUGUCGUCAGCUCGGUGUCGUGAGAUGUUGGUUAAGUCCCGCAACGAGCGCAACCCUUGCCAUUAGUUGUCAGCGAGUCAUGUCGGAUACUCUAAUGGGACUGCCGGUGACGAGCCGGAGGAAGGUGGGGAUGACGUCAAGUCAGCAUGGCCUUUAUGUCCAGGGCCACACACGUGCUACAAUGGACGGUACAGAGGGACGCAAGACCGCAAGGUGGAGCAAAUCCUCAAAACCGUUCUCAGUUCGGAUUGCAGGCUGCAAUUCGCCUGCAUGAAGCUGGAAUUGCUAGUAAUCGCAGAUCAGCUACGCUGCGGUGAAUACGUUCUCGGGCCUU
Molecule: ribosomal RNA, 438 nt
Filed under: uncultured Aminicenantes bacterium
Lineage: Bacteria; Candidatus Aminicenantota
Description: bacterial SSU rRNA
Rfam family: Bacterial small subunit ribosomal RNA
Source: RNAcentral